RNAcentral lists this transfer RNA (74 nucleotides) under Candidatus Moraniibacteriota bacterium. Its description in RNAcentral is "tRNA-Ala". It matches the Rfam family "tRNA". Rfam says of the family: Transfer RNA (tRNA) molecules are approximately 80 nucleotides in length. Their secondary structure includes four short double-helical elements and three loops (D, anti-codon, and T loops). Lineage: Bacteria; Candidatus Moraniibacteriota. The record is from RNAcentral.
GGGGACAUAGCUCAGUUGGCUAGAGCGCUUCCAUGGCAUGGAAGAGGUCAGGGGUUCAAGUCCCCUUGUCUCCA